CACGUAGUUAGCCGGGGCUUCUUCUGCAGGUACCGUCACCUUGCGGCCUCGUCCCUGCUGAAAGCGGUUUACAACCCGAAGGCCGUCAUCCCGCACGCGGCGUCGCUGCGUCAGGCUUUCGCCCAUUGCGCAAGAUUCCCCACUGCCUGCCUCCCGUAGGACGUCUGGGCCGUGUCUCAGUCCCAAUGUGGCCGAUCACCCUCUCAGGUCGGCUACGCAUCGUCGCCUUGGUGAGCCGUUACCUCACCAACUAGCUAAUGCGCCGCGGGCCCAUCUCAUAGCGGAUUGCUCCUUUAAUUGCUACUUCAUGCGAAGCUACAAUCUUAUGCGGUAUUAAUCUCCCUUUCGGAAGGCUAUUCCCCUCUAUGAGGCAGGUUGCCCACGUGUUACUCACCCGUCCGCCGCUAGCUUUGUUCCGUAAGAACUCCACUCGCUCGACUUGCAUGUGUUAGGCACGCCGCCAGCGUGUCUCUAGUCACGACGUCGAACUACUCUAC
RNAcentral lists this ribosomal RNA (497 nucleotides) under uncultured Clostridiaceae bacterium. RNAcentral's name for it is "partial 16S ribosomal RNA". The record is from RNAcentral. Lineage: Bacteria; Bacillati; Bacillota; Clostridia; Eubacteriales; Clostridiaceae.